GCGGGCGUCGUGUAAUGGUAACGCCUUGGCCUUCCAAGCCAUUGAUACGGGUUCGAUUCCCGUCGCCCGCU
Molecule: transfer RNA, 71 nt
Filed under: Chloroflexota bacterium
Lineage: Bacteria; Bacillati; Chloroflexota
Also listed under: 2 other names
Description: tRNA-Gly
Rfam family: tRNA
About the family: Transfer RNA (tRNA) molecules are approximately 80 nucleotides in length.
Source: RNAcentral